This 304-nucleotide ribosomal RNA is filed under the name uncultured bacterium. RNAcentral describes it as "partial 16S ribosomal RNA". It matches the Rfam family "Bacterial small subunit ribosomal RNA", at positions 506 to 807 of the family's 1533-position model. The record is from RNAcentral.
CAGCAGCAGCCGCGGUAAUACGUAGGGUGCGGGCGUUAAUCGGAAUUACUGGGCGUAAAGCGUGCGCAGGCGGUUCGUUAAGACAGAUGUGAAAUCCCCGGGCUUAACCUGGGAACUGCAUUUGUGACUGGCGAGCUAGAGUAUGGUAGAGGGGGGUAGAAUUCCACGUGUAGCAGUGAAAUGCGUAGAGAUGUGGAGGAAUACCGAUGGCGAAGGCAGCCCCCUGGGCCAAUACUGACGCUCAUGCACGAAAGCGCGGGGAGCAAACAGGAUUAGAUACCCCCGUAGUCCCUGUCUCUUAUAC